This 7297-nucleotide long non-coding RNA is filed under the name Glycine max (soybean). RNAcentral describes it as "long non-coding RNA (GMAX_LNC001883)". Lineage: Eukaryota; Viridiplantae; Streptophyta; Magnoliopsida; Fabales; Fabaceae. The record is from RNAcentral.
CGUGAGGGUGAGGAUAUGGAAUGUAUGGAGAAUACACGACCGGUGGAGGAGGAGAGUUGUAGUAAUAAGGUGAACGAGGCUUUGGAGAUGGUGGAGGUGGAGAUUGGAGGAAGAGAGUUGUAGUAGUAGUAGGGUGAAUGAGGCUUAGGAGAUGGUGGAGGUAGAGAUUUAUAGUAUUAAGAUGUUUGAGAAUAAAUACGUAUGUUGAAGAUCUAAUUUAUUAUGUUAUUAAUUUGUAAAAAAUUAUUCUUUAUUUUAUUAUCAUAUUCAUUAUUAAAUUGUUAAUUUGAUAAGUCAUUGAUUAAAAUUAGAUGUUUGUUAUCAUGAUAGAGAUUAUGAUAAUGAGAAACAAAUUUUUUAUAAUUUUAAUUCAAAUUAUUCUUGAUAGUAUGAUUAUCGUGAAUAGGACAUCAAUAAUCAUGAUAGAUUAAUAUAUAUGUAAUGAUCUUUAUUGAAUAAAGAUUAAUAAAUUUUUAUUGAAUAAUGAUCUUUAACACGAGAUUAUCAUAGUAAUUAAUAAGUUAUUGGUAUAUUUUAAUUUCGGAUGCCUAAUGUCUUAGAACACUAGUUGAAUGAAUAUUAGAUAUGAUUAAAUACUUGUAAAAUUAAUGAUUAAUCAAGAAGGAAUCCAUCAAUUCUAGGUAAUGAGUUUGAGUUCUAUUUUAGAAUUAAGACAUUGACUAAGGCAAUUGAAUGAAAGAAGAAAAUAGUUUCUUAAGUCAUUCAUGUGUUAGCUUAUUAGAGUUUGACAAUAAUACUAUACUCUAGAGUUAACCUAUGAUGGAAGCAAAUAUUAUAUUCUUCUUCUAUUGGUUCUCGAAGGGAAAAAGAUUUUGUUUCAGGUUAUCCGGACUUUAAGGAGUGUUGUUAAACGCCUAACUUGAUUAAUAAAUUAAUUAUGAUUAAUUUAUUAUCAAUUUAGUAUUGAACCUACAAGGUCACACACAAACGAGUAUUUCAAUAUUUACAAAAGAAAAUAAUUUAUUUUGAUAAUUAAAUUAGAGAAUUUAAUUUAAUCAAAUAAAUAUUUUAGUGAAAUAUUAUUAUAUUUUUUGCUAGGACCAAUAAUAUAAUUAAUAUAUAAAAAGGGAAUAUUAUUUUAUAAUUGUGAAGAUGUCCAUAAAAUAAGAAUAAUAUUCAAUUGCUAUGUAUCAAGGAUGUGAUUAAUUAUUGUAAUUAGUUAUGUGAUUAAUUAUGAAUUAUCUUUAUCUUAAAUCAGUAAGCUUCUUAAAAUAAAAUAUAUGAGAUAAUAUUUUUUUUAUAAAGACAAAUAUAAAUGAAAUUAUUUUAUAUAUUUUCUUUUUUUUCUCACCCAAAUCCAUAUCUCUUUAAUAUUAUGAAUAAAAGUAUCUAUAUGAGGCAAAGCGUACUAAAUAAAGACUGAAAAAGGUUCAAGUCUAGUUUUAGACGUGAAAAGUAGAAAAAAAAUUAUUCUUUAGAGUUUCAUCCAUCAAAGAAUUUGAUAAUAAAGAUUGACCUGAGUAUAGAUACAAGUAGAGUUUUUAGACUAUUAAAAAAAAUGUGUUGCUUCAAAACCUACAUUUUGAUGCAUUAAUUUAUUAUUUAUUUAUUUAUUAUUAUUGUAUAUUUUGAAUAUAAAAUAAAUCCUAAUUUUUUUCCUACAAUUAUUAGAAACAUUUUUAUGUAACUAUCAUACUACACACACGAGGAUAUGAGGAUAUGGUGAAUGAGGUGGUGGAAACUUAUAAUAGUAAGUUGGAAGAGAUGGUGGAGGAGAAGAUUUGUAGGAAUAAGGUAUUGGACGACUUCAUUUUGUGGAAAGAGUCAUGAUUUAAUUUGUUUUUCCUCUCCUUCUCUUAAAAUUUAGUUAUGCCCGUAUAUCUUAUUGAAAACCACAUUUUUUUAGUCUUUCUGGACUGGAUACCCCUACCCCUGGCCAUGAUCAUAAUUCAUAACUAUUAUAUAUAUAUUACACGUAUUUUAUUUGUAACAAAUGGUAUAUCGAUGAGUUUUCUGAAUGUUUGAUCACAUGGAAAAUUUCUGAACGCGUCCUAGAGACUGAAACAGUUUUAUUUGCGCAAUAUAGAGUGUCGGUUUACUAAAAGAACGCACAGAUAGAUAUAUAUCUAUUCCAAAAUGAAGCGUAUGUAUACACGGAAUGAAAAAUGAUUAGUAAUAAUAAAUUAAUUUUACGAAAAUUUAUAAUUCUUUUAUUUUUUAUCUCUCUUAGUCGUUAAAAAGAUUAUGUAAAAUAUUGUAUGAGGACAGUUUCUUAAUAGAAACAUUCUAAUGCAUGUGAUACGUACGGAAUUAUUAUAAUUACAGUUGCACGAAGUAUAUUAUUAAUUAAUAUUCUCCUGUUAACAACCUUUUUUAUUGAGUAGUGUUUUUUCAUUGGAGGAAAUCCUUAAAUAUAUUUUUGGUGAAUCUAAGUUUACUUAAGCGGUACAUUAAUUAGAAAAAAAUAUUUUUUCCCCUAUUUUGUUUAUAUAAGUAAAAAAGUGAGAAUUAUAUGAACGUGCGAAGUGUGUGUAUGAGAUAAUAUUUGUUUUACAUAAUAUACCCUAAAUCAUAAAAGAAGCUUCACUGUGUAACUUAAAUUAAAAUUUGUAUAUCUCCCCCAUGUGCGUCUGACUACUGUUACCAUGCAUAUUCUAAUUAAGAACCCUGUUAGUGCCUUUCUUCUUUUUAUCCUCUUUCCUUCAUGAUCACCAUUGUUAAAUGGCAGUCAAUUCCAUGUACGUAUUGCAUCUCUGAAUUCAAGUCUAGCUGUCUCAUCGAGUUUAAUUUGUGAUAAUUGGUCUCAAGUAAAAAAGACCACUAAUUUGAUCAUUAAAUAUAUAUAUAUAUAUAUAUAUAUAUAUAUAGACAUAUAUAUAUAUAUAUAUAUAUAUAUAUAUAUAUAUAUAUAUAUAUAUAUAUAUAUAUAUAUAUAUAUAUAUAUAUAUAUAUAUAUAUAUAUAUAUAUAUAUAUAUAUAUUGAACAAUGCUAAUUAAAUACCAUAUAUAGUCAGAAAUAGAUCAGUGGGGGGUGCAUGUAUGUUAAGUUAGAAAGAGAUAAGAUCGUGGUUGUGGCAUAUAGACGUGCAUGGGGUGGUGUGGCUUAUAUGAUAUGAGAAAAUCAAGUAAUUGCAGGCAUUUUUUUUAAAAAAUAAAAUGACUUCAUUAAUCGUCUCCAACAUCAGUUAUAUAUAUUGACAUGUUUUUUAAAAUAAUCAAAACUGUCUCGCUCCCAAAUCCCUCUCACUUCUUUUCUUCCCUCUCACUGGCUUAGGGAUUUUCACUUUCGAAAAACAUGACUUAGGCCAUAAUUGAAGCCAUUAGACAGUAAUAUAUCAUAUGAGCAGGGGCCAAUCCAAACUCAAAUGGCUGUGAGGACCGAUAAUAAAAAAUAAAAUUCAUCUAACACAUCAUAAAAAUAUAUAUUCAUAAAUUAAUGUUUUAAAAUGUUAAUUACAAUAAUAAUCUAUUAAAACACGGGACCUUAUUCUUAUAUGUACUAAAUUUUUUAUCAAUUCUUCAAUGUAUAUUAACAAAAUGUGAAUCAAGAAUCCAUCUUUCAUCUUCUUUAAUAAUUAUAGAUUAACAAAAUUUGAGAAAAAUAAAACCUACUAUAUAAUAAGUAGAAUUAGUCAAAUAUAAUAUUCGGAUAAGAUAUUUUACAAAAAAAGAAAUAAAAUUACUAUUGAUUUUAUAAUUUAAAAUUACAGAAAAUAAAAAUUGAUGGUAUAAUAACAAAAAUUGUUAAAAAAUAAUAUUUAAAUAUUUUUUUUAAAAAAAGACAAAAUUGCUAUUGAUUUUAUAGUUUGAAAAAAAAGAGAUAAAAACAAUUAUAUAAAUUGAUGGAUUUGAAUCCAUCCAUUUUUUUUUAUGGAUAAAUUAGAUGAAUUUAUUGUGGAUGAAUUAAUUGGAUAAUGGAUAAAUGAAUUCAUUUGUCACCACUAGCCUGGGACCUAGUCAUGUCCACCAUAGUGGAAAAGUUAUUUUGACCAUUGGAUUUAAAUUUUUCUUGAGAUAAGUGCAGGCUUAUCUUAAGACAAGUUACACUGGAUUAUUAUUAUUAUUAUUAUUAUUAUUAUUAUUAUUUUCCUUAAAAAGUGUUAUUCUUUCCUGUUCUAGUUUAUCGCCCCUUUCUUUCUCUCUCCGACUCUCCCUUCCAUCUACUUAUUCUCCUCCUCCCCUUUUUCAAAAUGUCAUGCUUCUUCGGUGACCUCAACAACUUCUUUGUCAUCAAGCUCCUCGUCGGACACGUAGUUAGCUAUGGUAGGAUUUGAAUACGAAAGAAUGGGCUUCAACGUCCACAAAAUGCUGAUUGGUGCGAUUGUUACUUUAAUGCAAGUGUAGGUAGGUUUGGAGCUUUGAUGUAGGUUUGGGAUAUGUGUGUGUGUGUGGAAAGAAACACGACCUAAAUUUAGGGGAUAUGUAGAUUAUUAUGCUUUUUUAUGCAAAUAUUGACAAAUUUAUUGCAAACAACACAAAAAGAUAUAUUAAAAGAAUUUCACAAUAAUUUGAAUGAAAUCAUACACAAUCAACCAUAUUAAUCUACAAAGAAACAAAUAAGAAAGCUCUAAAAGCAGCCUGAAUUGAUAUCAACAUUUCUAAUCUUGCUUCCUUGUCUUGAAUCUUUUUGAUUUGUCGCUUCCUUGAACUUAGUAAGAACAACACUUGAAAAAUGGCCACCAAAUAAAUAGAAGCAACCUCAUAUGAGUCAUGAAGAUCGUAGCUUAGAGGUGAUACACUCAGACUCUUAUUCAAAGAACUUGUAUAACAAAUUAUAUGCUUAACUCUGCUCCAAAUGGAACGGAAAUUUAUUCCACAAUGAAUACUAGAACCUGAAAUAAAAUAAAAGUUUUCAAUACUUCUCAGAGUUUAUAAAUGCAUAUAAAAUAGACAUUUAUCUANNNNNNNNNNNNNNNNNNNNNNNNNNNNNNNNNNNNNNNNNNNNNNNNNNNNNNNNNNNNNNNNNNNNNNNNNNNNNNNNNNNNNNNNNNNNNNNNNNNNNNNNNNNNNNNNNNNNNNNNNNNNNNNNNNNNNNNNNNNNNNNNNNNNNNNNNNNNNNNNNNNNNNNNNNNNNNNNNNNNNNNNNNNNNNNNNNNNNNNNNNNNNNNNNNNNNNNNNNNNNNNNNNNNNNNNNNNNNNNNNNNNNNNNNNNNNNNNNNNNNNNNNNNNNNNNNNNNNNNNNNNNNNNNNNNNNNNNNNNNNNNNNNNNNNNNNNNNNNNNNNNNNNNNNNNNUGGUGAUGGUGAUGGUGGCGGGGGAGAUUUAUAGUAAUAUGGAGGAGGUGAUGGUGAUGGUGGAGGAGGGCUCUUGUAGUAAUAAGAAGGUGGGGGAGGAGAUUUGUAAUAGUAUGUUGGUGGUGGUGGAGGUGGUGACUUAUAGUAGUAAGGAGGGUGUGGGUGCGGUGAGGGUGAAGGGGGUGGGGGAGAGUUGUAAUAAUAUGGUUUGUGAUAAGGAGUAGGGGAAGGCUUGGGCUUGGGCUUUUCGCAAUCAUAUGACUUUUCAGGAGCAUAAGCAAAUGGCUUAGCCUUGAGCACAACUUCAUACUUAUCCUUGGACUUCACCUUCAAUUUGGUUCCCUCAUUAAGCUUGGUGGGUAUGUUACAGCGUGAAUCCUUAGGAGGAGCAUGGAGUUUAGCCUUGCAGACUGUGGCUCCAUAUUUCACAUAGUCAAAGCCUUCAACAGUGAUGCUGUACUUUCCAUUGCUCUUAGUUUUACCAUAAGCUUUUAUGGUCUUGCUCCCAACUUCACAAGUCACUUCGACCGUGGCACCUAAUUAACGAUGCCAUUAAAUGUGUGGAUCGCACAUGUUAUUGACAAAUCAAUCUAACAUAUAAAACCAUGACAUUAUUGUUUUCUUUAAUUUUAACGGAAGGAAAUGUUUUGUGAACACAAAAUGGGAUAAUAAAGUUAUUUCUUAUAACAUUAUGAUGUGUUUUUAAAACACGUGUACGAAAAAAAAGAAGCAUGUGUUACAUUAAUAAAUCUUUAUUUUUAAAGGUUUAAAUAAUAUAAAUAAAAUUAAAAUAGUUAACCUAUCCUAGCUUUUUCAUAUUUUGAUUGUUGGCUUCAUUGAUUACAUAAGAAAUAGUCGAUUCUAAACAAUAUUUUCUAUUUUCCAACAAAAAUUGUAUUUUUUUUUAUUGAAAUUCCAACUAAAGUCCUCUUCAAAAAAAAAUUGACAACUUUCUGUUUGAAAAGGGUAAUAUAGGUACUUUAAAAAGUAGUAUAUGUUUAGGUUGGUCAUUUGUUUAAUUAGUUAGCAUAGAUCAAGAUUCUCAAAAAUAUUUUUUUGUUAAAAUAUUUUCUCAAAUUGAAACAUGUUUUAUUUCUUAAUUGAAAUGAUAAUUACAAAAAAAAACUAGUUGACUAAAUAAAAAAAGGAGAAAUUAUAACUGUAAAAUUAUUUUAUAUUAGUUUUUUUUACAAAUUUUAUAGAGAAAAGAAAAAAAUGAGAAAAUAUCAAAUAAUUAAAUGAUUUAAUAGAAAAAAUAAAAAAAUAUGACUAAAAUACUAUAAGAAUAUUAUAUUGUAUUAAAAACAACUGUUUAUGUAUAAAUGCAGUUGAACUUCUCUAGACACAACAACACACACAUAACAAUAUCGAUGUAAUUAUACAAAUAAAAAUAUGAGCUUGAAAAAGAAAAAUUAAUUAAAGAAACAUAUAUGGCAGCCAAUGUCCCAAAUUAAAAUUUUGAGAAAAACAAAAGUACAGAUUAAUAUUACCAAAAAGUAACAUUUUUGAAGUAUUCAUAAUAUUAUUAUUGUGAAUGUAUUAGAAUGAAAUAGUAAAAAAAUAAAAGUAAUGUAGGUACCUUUGAGGUGUUUCUUGUUGUGCGACUUUUGGGGGUAUUUCCAGUCAUAACAUCUAUAACAAUAGACUUUACCCACAAUCUUAACAAUCAAUGGGUGAUGAUAUGGGUGAGGGUGAGGAUAUGGAGUGUAUGGAGGAGGCUUAGGAGAUGGUGGAGGCAGAGAUUUAUAGUAGUAAGGCACAUGAGGAGGAUACGGUGAAGGAGGAGGUGGAGACUUAUAAUAGUAAGGUGGAGGAGGUGAAGGAGAUGGUGGAGGAGGAGAUUUGUAGUAGUAAGGUGGUGGAGGAGAUGGUGAAGGAGGAGGCGGAGACUUGUAGUAAUAUGGAGGAGGGGGUGAGGGAGAUGGAGGAGGAGGAGAUUUGUAGUAGUAUGGUGUUGGAGCUGGGUGACUUCUCAGGUGGGGGAGGAGACUUGUAGUAGUAUGGUGGUGGUGGUGAUGGUGAAGGUGGUGGUGGGGACUUGUAGUAGUAAGGAGGUGGAGGUGAUGGAGAGGUGGUGGCGGGAAUUUAUAGUAGUAAGGAGGG